Passer montanus (Eurasian tree sparrow) is the source of this 1539-nucleotide long non-coding RNA. RefSeq lists it as uncharacterized. The transcript has 3 exons. NCBI's taxonomy places the organism in Eukaryota, Metazoa, Chordata, Aves, Passeriformes, Passeridae. The record is from RefSeq and is a predicted model, not a curated record.
CUUAGGCUCUCCCUCUCUCCUUCCCCCUUUUCCCCUCAGUAACCAUGCUGCUCCCAAGGAUGGGACCCCAAUAAACCCCAAUAAAAUCAGCACCCUCAGAAGCCCUGUGGAGUCUCCUUGCCUGCCUCCAGUGAACACACAGCUUAGGGGGGCCCACCAAACAAACUGCAUCCCCAUGGAGCUUUACAGAGGUCUGAUCUCAUGAUAUGAACAGUGAGUGUGGCACAAGAUUUACACGAUGGAGAAAUGUGCUAACAACAAACAAGAAGGAACAAGUCGUGUUGUUUAUCCAUGAUUUUAACUUUCCUCCCAAACAUCCUUUUUCUCAGGUUGUUGGCUGAAAGGGGACAUUUCUGUAGCUGUGUUUGACUGCUUAAAACAACAGCUGAACAUUCCUCUGGAACCAGACAGGGGGACCCUGGCCCAAGGCUUUCAAGGAUGGAGCUUAAAUUUCAGAGCAAAAGCUACACUGAGAGGUAAAAUGUGACAGCAGGAGGUGUCAGGAUGGUGAAGUCCAUUCACAGACACACCUAUUCAUUCAGCAAGCCAUUGUCUGUGCUUCUGCACCAAAACUGCCCUGAUAAUCCACCUAGAUUAAAUAUAAACCUGUAUUUAGGCACCCAACCUAAAUCCCACUUUAUUGCUGGAAACAAUUACCAGCUCAGAUCAACCACAAAAAAUUUUCUUACUUGAAUACAAAGUUUGAAAGAUUUGAGGUUAUUUGUAAUUUUCAGCUCAAUUUUUUAUGUUUCAGUAAUCACACAAGACCCAGAGCUGCAAUCCUAAUUAAAGGCAAUUCCAUGAUCCAUGAAGGGAGGAUGAACUUUCAGAGCAAAAUCUUGAUUAUACAAAAAAAGCACCAGAAGCCAGGGAAGGAGUUUCCCAGAUAUUCCCAGAUAUCCCAGGUUCUUCCUGGGGUGGUGAAGAUUUCUCUCCCAAAGCACAGGUGAGCCCAUGUGCAGAACAAAACCAUUUAUUCCACAUGGAAAUUUCAUGGACCUGGCUCAAGAUCAAGCAUUUCCCACAACUGGUGCAAUGUUUUUUAUGGGAUGAAAGAGAGAAAAAAACAGGGGAGGUUUUCAAAAGCACAGCUUGAAAAAAACUGCUGGAGUUCCCAUUCCACAGGCCCUGCAGCCUGGCACUGACCCCAUUUAGCACAAGGGUAAAGGGGUUUUUUGUCUUUCUGAUCUUCUCCUCAGAGGCCAAACAGAGCAAAAAAACAGAGUGAGGAGCUCACUCAUGAAGCUGAGACUGGACAAAGAAAUUCAGGACAAAGUUGUUUCAAAAGCCUGUAAUUGAGCAUUCCAAGGGAAUUCCAUUCAACAAUUACCUGCUGUACAAGAACCUGGCAGCACUCACGUUUCCAUGGGACAACAACACACAAAGCUACUCCCACAGCAACACGAGUGCAGAAAUGGAUGUGUCUGAUCCCCAUGCACAUACAUCCUGUGUUACCUUGAACUCCACAUCUUAUCACAUGUUCUGAAGGGAAAACUGAAGUUUUAGGCAGGUUAAAGCCUCUAAAUCAGGAUCUGCUGU